GAUGAAGAACGCAGCGAAAUGCGAUAAGUAAUGUGAAUUGCAGAAUUCAGUGAAUCAUCGAAUCUUUGAACGCACCUUGCACUCCUUGGUAUUCCGAGGAGUACGCCUGUUCGAGUGUUAUGAAGCUCUCAAAACGCAAUUGGCUUAAAACCUGAUUGUUGUUUUGGAUUUGAACUUUGCCGUGUUAUAACGGCUGGUUUUAAAAGUAUUAGGUGGUACUAGAACGAAUUGGUUCUACUCAACGUGAUAAUUAUCUGAUCGUUGAGGACAUUCCUUUCACGAGGAAUGGCCAUAGUAAAUUCAAUGGACUGCUUCUAAUCUGGCUUUAAUUCUUUAUUGGAUUAACCACUUUUCAAAUCUGACCUCGAAUCAGGUGGGACUACCCGCUGAACUUAAGCAUAUCAAUAAGCGGAGGA
Molecule: unclassified non-coding RNA, 416 nt
Filed under: soil metagenome
Description: partial contains 5.8S ribosomal RNA, internal transcribed spacer 2, and large subunit ribosomal RNA
Rfam family: 5.8S ribosomal RNA (bases 1-120)
Source: RNAcentral